AGUCAAGCUACUAAGGGCACAUGGGGGAUGCCUUGGCGCCAGAAGCCGAAGAAGGGCGUAGUAAGACUGCGAUAAGCCACGAUUAGCUGCCUAACAAGCUUAGUCGUGGAUGCCCGAAUGGGGGAACCCAUCUACUUCGGUAGUUGCCUUAGUCGUGAGACUUUGGCGGUAAGCGGGGGAACUGAAACAUCUAAGUACCCCGAGGAAAGGAAAUCAACCGAGACUCCCCUAGUAGCGGCGAGCGAACGGGGACUAGCCCAAACCACAAGAGCCUAACGGACUGGAGUCUUAUGCCUUUGUGGUGUUGUAGGGCCGGGCCCGAGAAAUCUCCAGAUUUCUCAAAGAGUUAUAAAACGUACAUUUAGUCGAACAGUCCUGGAACGGCUGGCCGCAGUGGGUGAAAGCCCCGUAGACGAAAAGUGUGCGACUCUUAGCCCGGUUCCUGAGUACGACGGGACACGUGAAAUCUUGUCGGAAUCUGGGGGGACCACCCUCCAAGGCUGAGUACUUCUGGCGACCGAUAGUGAACAAGUACCGUGAGGGAAAGGUGAAAAGCACCCCGUGAGGGGAGUGAAACAGAACUGAAACCAUGUGCCUACAAACCGUAGGAGUCCUGAAUUUAUUCGGGAUGACUGCGUGCCUAUUGAAGAAUGAGCCAAUGAGUUACGUUGCGUGGCAGGUUAAGGCGUGAUGCGCCGGAGCCGUAGCGAAAGCGAGUCUGAAUAGGGCAAUUCAGUCGCGUGGCGUAGACCCGAAACCGUGUGAGCUACCCUUGGCCAGGUUGAAGCGAAAGUAAUGUUUCGUGGAGGACCGAACCCGUGUAAGUUACAAAUUGCUGGGAUGAGCUGAGGGUAGGGGUAAAAUGCCAAUCGAACACGGAGAUAGCUGGUUCUCCCCGAAAUGCAUUUAGGUGCAGCGUCAAGUUUUACUUUGCGGAGGUAGAUCACUGGAUGGGCCAGGGGGCGUGAGCUUACCAACCCCAACCAAAAUCCGAAUACCGUAAAGGGCAUCUUGGCAGUGAGACAGUGAAGGAUAAGCUCCAUUGUCGAAAGGGAAACAGCCCAGAUCGCAAGCUAAGGUCCCGAAGUGUGUGCUAAGUGUGAAACGAAGUGGGAACGCCCAGACAGCCAGGAGGUUGGCUUAGAAGCAGCCAUCCUUUAAAGAGUUCGUAAUAGAUCACUGGUCAAGGGUUUCUGCACGGAAAAUAAACGGGGCUUAAGCACACCACCGAAGCUGCGGAUUCAUCACGAUUUAUCGAGAUGAGUGGUAGGGGAGCGUUCUUAGUGCAUCGAAGUUAGGUCGUAAGGCCUGGUGGAGCGCUGAGAAGUGAGUAUGUUGGCAUAAGUAGCGACAAUGUCGGUGAGAAUCCGACACGCCGAAAGUCUGAGGUUUCCUACGCUACGCUGAUCGACGUAGGGUUAGGCGGGCCUAAGGUGUAGCCGAAUGGCGAAGCCGAUGGACAGCAGGUCAAAAUUCCUGCCCCGUUUCAGAUUUGUUUGAGCUUUCGGGGGGACGCGGACUGAUAAGCGACGCAUGCCUAUUGGAUAUGGUGUGUGCAUUUCCGUAAGUGAGUGGGGGGAGUUAAAAAGCCCGCCGCGUUUGAACAGAGGGACGUGCGAACCAUGAGGUUAGCCUCACGGAACGUCGCCGAUUCUACGCCGCCUAGAAAAGCCCCGUUAGUGAGAAUUUGAGACGUCCGUACCGAAAACCGACACUGGUAGACAGGGAUAAAUGUCCCAAGGCGUGCGAGACAACCAUCGUUAAGGAACUCGGCAAAUUAACCCCGUAACUUCGGAAGAAGGGGGGCCUCUGGCGUAUUAGGACUUGCUCCGAAAAGCGCUGGUGGCCGCAGAGAAUAGGUUCGAGCGACUGUUUAUCAAAAACACAGGUCCGUGCUAAACCGAAAGGUGAUGUAUACGGGCUGACGCCUGCCCAGUGCCGGUAGGUUAAGGAAGGCGGUGAGAGCUGCCGACUGAAGCCCCGGUGAACGGCGGCCGUAACUAUAACGGUCCUAAGGUAGCGAAGUCCCUUGUCGGGUAAGUUCCGACCCGCACGAAUGGCGUAAC
Molecule: ribosomal RNA, 2066 nt
Filed under: Dehalococcoidia bacterium
Lineage: Bacteria; Bacillati; Chloroflexota; Dehalococcoidia
Description: partial 23S ribosomal RNA
Rfam family: Bacterial large subunit ribosomal RNA
Source: RNAcentral